Molecule: RNA transcript, 3641 nt
Organism: Vollenhovia emeryi
Lineage: Eukaryota; Metazoa; Arthropoda; Insecta; Hymenoptera; Formicidae
Gene name: probable ATP-dependent RNA helicase DDX31
Exons: 10
Source: RefSeq, a predicted model, not a curated record
AAACACUAGACUCGGGCAAGAGGCUCUCUCCGAGAUACGCGCAUGCGCCAAGCGCCAACGCUCGCGCAGCUCGCCGCUGCCGCAUGUCCGACAACGUGUUCGGCGUGUGCUCUCGUAAACGUUGCUCCACGGUCUCACGCGUAUAUCAUUUCUCCGCGCGUCCUAUACGUAAGAAGGAAAGGCGACCUGUGGUAAACGAGCGCAUCGAUGACAAUUCAAGGCAUGGACAUCUGUUUGAACGUCACGGCGGGCCCAGCUGUCGCGACGAGGAAGAACACAUUGAGCAGAACACAGUCCUCCGAAACGUCGAUUAAAAGAUUGAAGAAUCAAUCGUUCCGCAAGGAUGCAGCACACGGUAACAAGGAAUCGCAGAGAAACGCGAGUACGCGAGGGACGGGGUGCACGAAAAGAAUUAAACAGCGGUCAUUAUCGGCUAUCUUUGCCAAGAGGUUCAGAGAAGCACGCUCUGUUGUCCCAGACGUGCAGCCAUCUCAGGGUAAAGGCGUAGCAGCGAGAGCCGCUGCAUCAGGAAAAGUUGCACAGUCUGACACGACGGACAAACGGCAUGUGGAAUCUAAUAAGAUCCCCUCGUGUCAUCCCGACUCCACGAACGAAUCAGCCGUGUCCUUCGUGAAGGCCACGAAAGAGCACGUUGGUAAGGUGCUGUUUGCGAAAAAGAGAGAUGAUUCAAACCGUGAAUCGAAGAAGUCACUUUCCCAAAUAUUUUCAAGUCAGUUGAACAGUCAGAAUGAGUCGGUUAUUCUAAAUUUAACUCGGAAAGAUGAUAAAAGUAAUUCCAAGUCCGACGAAGAGUUCAGAAUAGCUGAUAAGUCACCAGUUCUCAAGUCCAGUCAGAUUCCACCUGCCGAAAACUUCGUUUCUACAAAUAAGACUGUGUCUUUCGGUAAGUCAGCAAAAGGACACGUUGGUAAAGUACUGAAAAGGAAAAGUAAUUCAAAGGGUGAAUUGAAGAGAUCGCUUUCAAAUAUAUUUUCGAGUAAAUUGAAGAGUCUGAACAAGGAGUCGGAUACUCUAAAUUCAACUAGGAAACAUGAUAUUCCUGCAGAUAGCUUCGAAUCGAGCGAGAAAGGCCAAGUGGCAACUGAGGAAUCGCAUGUUUUAAAAAAAGCAAAGGGAACAGAUAUCUUGAGUAAAAGGAAAGAGAGAAUUGUAGGUAGCAAUAGGGAAUCGGACAAAACUCAAAAGUUAACGCACAGACCUGGCGGGAAAGUCUCCUCUUUAUUUGGCAAUAAUCCCGAUGUGCCAACCAUAGGCCAGCGAUUUGUAAGGCCUGUAAGUGAGCCGGUGUUCACGGAGAUCACUUUCGCAGAUCUCAAUGUUCAUCCGUUUAUGAUAUCAAAUUUAGAGCAGAAUAUGAAUAUAACUAAAAUGACGACGGUUCAACAAAAGGCCAUCCCUCAGAUAUUCUCGGAUAAGGAUGUUCUAAUAAGAUCUCAGACAGGUUCUGGCAAAACGUUAGCCUACGCUCUACCCAUUGUUGAACUGUUGCACAAAAUUAGACCAAAAUUAAAUAGGAACAGCGGCUUACUGGCCCUCGUGGUUGUCCCGACGAGAGAAUUGGCCCUGCAGACGUACGAGUGUUUUGUAAAACUAGUUAAACCUUUCACUUGGAUCGUGCCGGGCUACAUAUUUGGCGGAGAAAAGAGAAAAGCGGAAAAGGCUCGGUUACGAAAGGGAUGUAAUAUAUUAAUAUCUACUCCUGGUAGAUUGUUAGAUCAUAUAAAGCACACGAAAGCGCUGAGAUUGAACAACGUUAAAUAUUUCGUGUUAGAUGAAGCCGACAGGAUGCUUGAUAUGGGAUACGAAAUGGACAUUUCCGGGAUAGUAGGCGCGUUGAAAAUAUCACGCUCUAAUAGUGAAUCGGGAUACGACGCUAUGAAGAUAUUUAAGGAGGGUAGUAAAAAGACGGUCACGGAUAAAGAAAUGGAAGGAAUUUCAAAGGAACAUAAUACGAAGUCGAAAACGGGAGAAGAUAAUACGGGCAGCAGUAAAACGAGACAAAUGUAUCAUUCAAGUGACGACAGCGAUAGCGACGAUGGCGAUCGGAUCGCUAGUACCGAUCCGGUAUCCGAGAAAACGAAAGAGGAUGAAAGACAUUCCGCCAUGAAUCGGGAAUCUUGUUCGAAGGUGGAAAGUGUUGGAAACGUCGAGCGAGAUUGUGAAAAACAAUCGAGUCGGAGGACAAUCUUGUUGUCCGCGACUCUGACACAAGCCGUCGAAAAGUUGGCAGGUCUCACGAUGCGCAAUCCGAUCUUCGUUGACGCGGCUAAGGAGAAUUUAGCGGCCAGCGGGGGCGACACUAGCGAGAUCAACGAAGACCUGGUAGUCCCGCAAAGUGUAAUGCAAAGUUACAUAGUCACCCCAGCGAAAUUAAGGAUGGUCACGCUAAGCGCUUACAUCGCCGGGAGAUGUCAGACUCCAGGGCAACACAAAAUAUUGAUUUUUAUGGCCACGCAAGACAUGGUCGAUUAUUACACUGAGAUUUUGUCCUCUAUUUUAACGAAACCGGCGGAUGACGACGACGAAGACUCCGAUCCGCUGGUUGACGUGGAAUUCUUUAAAUUGCACGGUAAUAUGACGCAGAAAGAAAGGACGGGGGUAUUCAAAACUUUCAGUCAAGCGAAGAGCGGAGUACUGCUGUGCACGGACGUCGCAGCUCGAGGACUGGAUAUGCCGAAGGUAGAUUGCGUCGUUCAGUAUACCGGUCCGAUUUCGGCUAGGGAUUACGUUCAUCGAAUCGGCAGAACCGCGCGCGCAGGUUGCUCCGGCGUGGCGGCGAUCUUCCUGACGCCCGCGGAAGUCGAGUUCGUGCGGAUGCUCGAGUCGAGGCGCAUCAGAAUCAGGCAGCAGGACAUGAACGAUGUCCUGGACAAGCUACUGGGGCCCUUCUCCAGGCACGGCUCCGUGCAUGCAGCGGCUGUCGCUCUCCAAAAUGACUUCGAAGAAUUAGUAUUGGAGAAUCGACAACUUCGCGCGAAAGCGUGUAAAGCCUACGUCUCCUGGGUGCGUUUCUAUUCGAGUUAUCCGCGCGACAUGCACGAGGUAUUCAAUCGAAAGGAUCUUCAUUUGGGUCACUAUGCCAAGAGUUUCGCGCUGAGGGAUCCACCGCAACAGAUCGGCAGGUUCGGUAAGAAGCUACGCGAGGAAGAGAUUACGAGGCCCAGGCACAAUAACCGUCUGUCAAACAUGCCAUCUGACGGGGUGCCGCAAAAGAAGCAGAGGACCCGGGACGGCAACGGGCAGAAAACGGGCUCACUGAAGAGGGUUCGAAUGCUCAACACCUCCGAAUACGAUAGCGGCCUCGAAUCCCUGAAGAAGCCAAAGAAGUAAUCCCCGUGCCACGUAAUUGUACGUUGACUCGAUUGUGCACAUUGUUGUAAACAGAAGCAGCGAUUCCUGAGAACAUGUUUUCAAAUAGUGUUUCUAAUACAGAAAACGUACGUCUUCUCGCAGUUUUCUCACGUCUAUCGUGACGAUUAGAGGAAAAUCCCCUGUUAUAAGCUCGUAAGAUAUAGCGGGGGAUUUCUGUUAAAUUAAUCGGCCUCAUCUGUUGAUUUCAUCACGAAUUUAUUGCCCAUGGAGCGAAAUUUGUUUAGUUGGAAAUUCAGUUAGAUCGUGUA